RNAcentral lists this long non-coding RNA (445 nucleotides) under Malus domestica (apple). RNAcentral's name for it is "long non-coding RNA (MDOM_LNC015473)". The record is from RNAcentral. Lineage: Eukaryota; Viridiplantae; Streptophyta; Magnoliopsida; Rosales; Rosaceae.
GUAUGCGAUCUCGAAGUAUAUACAAACAUGUUUGACGGUUGGAUCAUUGAAACUAGUUGUGUAUAAUGAGCAUCCCAUCAAAACAAUAGAUUCACUAAUACUUAAGAGUUUAUUCAUACUUUUAUUAAGUGUAACAUAAGAUUUUGUGGUAUCCACUUGUGUAAAUAUUUUAAAUUGAAGAUCGAAUUCAAUCAUUGUAUUCAUAUAGGGUCAAGGAGUGUGGUUGUAAAAAAUCAUCAAAAUCAGAGUUAAAAUGACCGUUAAAUCGUGAUUUUUCGUUUAUAACCGUCAAAAAGUUUUGUCCCGUUACUUGCUCUCUGAAUGUUUGUUUUUUUGCAAUUUUUGGCGUAUGCGAUGCGAUCUCGAAGUAUAUACAAACAUGUUUGAUGGUUGGAUCGUUGAAAUUAGUUUCGUAUAAUUCGUAUCCCAUGAAGUUCAAUGGUGU